UACAGAGGUCCCGAGCGUUGUUCGGAUUCAUUGGGCGUAAAGGGUGCGUAGGCGGCGGGGCAAGUCUGAUGUGAAAUCCCGGGGCUCAACCCCGGAACUGCAUUGGAUACUGCCUUGCUUGAGUACUGGAGAGGAGACUGGAAUUUACGGUGUAGCAGUGAAAUGCGUAGAUAUCGAUAAGGAAGGCCAGUGGCGAAGGCGAGUCUCUGGACAGUUACUGACGCUGAGGCACGAAGGCCAGGGGAGCAAACGGG
This 254-nucleotide ribosomal RNA is filed under the name uncultured bacterium. Its description in RNAcentral is "partial 16S ribosomal RNA". It matches the Rfam family "Bacterial small subunit ribosomal RNA", at positions 524 to 776 of the family's 1533-position model. The record is from RNAcentral.